GCUUCAAUGGCUCAGAUGGCAGAGCGUCCGCCUAGUAAGCGGAAGGUCCAGAGUUCAAUUCUCUGUUGAAGCA
Non-coding RNA from Gongronella butleri, 73 nucleotides. NCBI's taxonomy places the organism in Eukaryota, Fungi, Mucoromycota, Mucoromycetes, Mucorales, Cunninghamellaceae. The record is from the annotation of a GenBank genome assembly.